GGGGAAUAACGCUGGGAAACCGGCGCUAGUACCGCAUAAGCUCGAGAGAGGAAAGGAGCAAUUCGCCGAAAGAGGAGCCCGCGGCUGAUUAGCUAGUUGGUGAGGUAAAGGCUCACCAAGGCAAUGAUCGGUAGCCGGCCUGAGAGGGCACACGGCCACACUGGCACUGAAACACGGGCCAGACUCCUACGGGAGGCAGCAGUGGGGAAUCUUGCACAAUGGGGGAAACCCUGAUGCANCGACGCCGCGUGAGUGAUGACGCCCUUCGGGGUGUAAAGCUCUUUCGGCAGGGACGAUAAUGACGGUACCUGAAGAAGAAGCUGCGGCUAACUACGUGCCAGCAGCCGCGGUAAUACGUAAGCAGCGAGCCGUUGUUCGGAGUUACUGGCGUAAAGAGUGCGUANGCGGNUNUCUAAGUUUGGUGUGAAAUCUCCCGGCUUAACUGGNAGGGUGCGCCGAAGACUGGAAGCUUGAGUAUGGGAGAGGUAAACCGGAAUUCCUGGUGUAGCGGUGAAAUGCGUAGAUAUCAGGAGGAACACCUGCGGUGUAACGGCUUACUGGACCAUAACUGACGCUGAAGCACGAA
Molecule: ribosomal RNA, 586 nt
Filed under: uncultured Acidobacteriota bacterium
Lineage: Bacteria; Pseudomonadati; Acidobacteriota
Description: bacterial SSU rRNA
Rfam family: Bacterial small subunit ribosomal RNA
Source: RNAcentral